RNAcentral lists this unclassified non-coding RNA (348 nucleotides) under soil metagenome. Its description in RNAcentral is "partial contains 5.8S ribosomal RNA, internal transcribed spacer 2, and large subunit ribosomal RNA". The stretch from base 1 to 120 matches the Rfam family "5.8S ribosomal RNA", at positions 35 to 154 of the family's 154-position model. The record is from RNAcentral.
GAUGAAGAACGUAGUGAAAUGCGAUAAGUAAUGUGAAUUGCAGAAUUCAGUGAAUCAUCGAGUCUUUGAACGCACAUUGCGCCCCCUGGUAUUCCGGGGGGCAUGCCUGUCCGAGCGUCAUUGCCGCCCUCAAGCACGGCUUGUGUGUUGGGCCCCCGCCCCCCGGCUUCGGGGGGCGGGCCCGAAAGGCAGCGGCGGCACCGCGUCCGGUCCUCGAGCGUAUGGGGCUUCGUCACCCGCUCUGUAGGCCCGGCCGGCGCCCGCCGGCGACCCCAAUCAAUCUUUCCAGGUUGACCUCGGAUCAGGUAGGGAUACCCGCUGAGCUUAAGCAUAUCAAUAAGCGGAGGA